GAACGGGUAGCUCAGUGUAGAGCGGACGACUCUUAAUCGUCAGGUCGGAUGGUUCAAAUCCAUCCCCCGUUCUCCA
Molecule: transfer RNA, 76 nt
Filed under: Neomesorhizobium albiziae
Lineage: Bacteria; Pseudomonadati; Pseudomonadota; Alphaproteobacteria; Hyphomicrobiales; Phyllobacteriaceae
Description: Mesorhizobium albiziae tRNA-Lys
Rfam family: tRNA
About the family: Transfer RNA (tRNA) molecules are approximately 80 nucleotides in length. Their secondary structure includes four short double-helical elements and three loops (D, anti-codon, and T loops). Further hydrogen bonds mediate the characteristic L-shaped molecular structure. tRNAs have two regions of fundamental functional importance: the anti-codon, which is responsible for specific mRNA codon recognition, and the 3' end, to which the tRNAs corresponding amino acid is attached (by aminoacyl-tRNA synthetases). tRNAs cope with the degeneracy of the genetic code in two manners: having more than one tRNA (with a specific anti-codon) for a particular amino acid; and 'wobble' base-pairing, i.e. permitting non-standard base-pairing at the 3rd anti-codon position.
Source: RNAcentral